GCCUAGGGGCAGCCCUGGUUGGGGGUGUUGGGGAGAGGAGGGGAAUUUGGGGUGCGGGUCCUGUCCAGAGCCCAGUGGGAGAGUGGGGCCUGGGGUGGCCAGCACUGAAUCUGGGGGGCACAGCAAUGGAACAUGGUUUGGGGCUUCCUGCCUCCUUGUGGUGGGCACUGGGGCCAGGUUUGCCGGGCGGUCCCUGCACAGGCCCCCAGGCCGCCUGGGGAACCUGGGACUGGUGGGGGUGAGGCUGCAGGCCCGGCUCGCAGAGGGGUCAGUGUCUUGUGGCCACGCUCUUCUGCAGGGUCCAGCUUGCUGGGCCCGAAGAGGAGAAGGCCCUCAGCCCCCGCAUCCCAGGCUGAGCUGAUUCCUAGAGUCCUGUCCACGCUUUUCGUCUUGAAAGCAACCCAGAACAUUUCCAGAGGCGGAUUCUGAACCACUGAGCCAUCCGGAAGCCCCUGCGCCACGACUGCUGAGCCCAUGAGCUGCAACUAUCGACCCGUGUGCUGCAACCACUUAAGCCCUUGUGCCCAAGAGAGGCCCCCACGAUGAGCAGCCCGGAGCUGGAGAGCAGCCCCCACUCAGUCGCAACUGGAGAAAAGCCCGAGCAGCGACAAAGACCCACCAUGGCCAAAGAUAAAUAAAUAAAAUAAUUUUAAAAAAGAAGCUGUCCCAGAACCCCUGGGCCUCCCAACUCUCACACCUCCAUGCGGUGUUCCUCAGGGGGUGGGGUGGACGCAGGGACCUGUCACUGUGGGUCCUGCCGCCCCCAACAGAUGCAUACACUCUGUGACUUCCAAACGGUGCCAUGCUGCAGGACCCUGCACCAGGCCCUGCCCUUCUG
Long non-coding RNA from Bos taurus (domestic cattle), 838 nucleotides. Lineage: Eukaryota; Metazoa; Chordata; Mammalia; Artiodactyla; Bovidae. The record is from Ensembl.